GACGAACGCUGGCGGCGUGCUUAACACAUGCAAGUCGAACGGAAAGGCCCUGCUUUUGUGGGGUGCUCGAGUGGCGAACGGGUGAGUAACACGUGAGUAACCUGUCCUUGACUUUGGGAUAACUUCAGGAAACUGGGGCUAAUACCGGAUAGGAGCUCCUGCUGCAUGGUGGGGGUUGGAAAGUUUCGGCGGUUGGGGCUGGACUCGCGGGUUAUCAGCUUGUUGGUGGGGUAGUGGCGUACCAAGGCUUUGACGGGUAGCCGGCCUGAGAGGGUGACCGGCCACAUUGGGACUGAGAUACGGAGCAGACUCCUACGGGAGGCAGCAGUGGGGAAUAUUGCGCAAUGGGCGGAAGCCUGAUGCAGCAACGCCGCGUGCGGGAUGACGGCCUUCGGGUUGUGAACCGCUUUCGCCUGUGACGAAGCGUGAGUGACGGUAAUGGGUAAAGAAGCACCGGCUAACUACGUG
RNAcentral lists this ribosomal RNA (468 nucleotides) under uncultured bacterium. Its description in RNAcentral is "partial 16S ribosomal RNA". It matches the Rfam family "Bacterial small subunit ribosomal RNA", at positions 28 to 507 of the family's 1533-position model. The record is from RNAcentral.